This 294-nucleotide unclassified non-coding RNA is filed under the name uncultured Lasiosphaeriaceae. Its description in RNAcentral is "partial contains 5.8S ribosomal RNA, internal transcribed spacer 2, and large subunit ribosomal RNA". The stretch from base 1 to 102 matches the Rfam family "5.8S ribosomal RNA", at positions 53 to 154 of the family's 154-position model. The record is from RNAcentral. Lineage: Eukaryota; Fungi; Ascomycota; Sordariomycetes; Sordariales; Lasiosphaeriaceae.
AUGCGAUACGUAAUGUGAAUUGCAGAUUUCAGUGAAUCAUCGAAUCUUUGAACGCACAUUGCGCCCGCCAGUAUUCUGGCGGGCAUGCCUGUUCGAGCGUCAUUUCAACCAUCAAGCGCCUCGCUUGUGUUGGGGCCCUGCGGCUGCCGCAGGCUCCUAAAUCCAGUGGCGGGCUCGUCGUGGUACCGAGUGCAGUAAACAUCCUCGCUCUGGGAACCCGACGGGUGCCGGCCGUGAAACCCCCCCCUCCUUAAGGUUGACCUCGGAUCAGGUAGGAAUACCCGCUGAACUUAA